RNAcentral lists this ribosomal RNA (253 nucleotides) under uncultured bacterium. Its description in RNAcentral is "partial 16S ribosomal RNA". It matches the Rfam family "Bacterial small subunit ribosomal RNA", at positions 524 to 776 of the family's 1533-position model. The record is from RNAcentral.
UACGGAGGGUGCAAGCGUUAUCCGGAUUCACUGGGUUUAAAGGGUGCGUAGGUGGGUUUGUAAGUCAGUGGUGAAAUCUCCAAGCUUAACUUGGAAACUGCCGUUGAUACUAUAAAUCUUGAAUGUUGUGGAGGUGAGCGGAAUAUGUCAUGUAGCGGUGAAAUGCUUAGAUAUGACAUAGAACACCAAUUGCGAAGGCAGCUCACUACACAAAGAUUGACACCGAGGCACGAAAGCGUGGGGAUCAAACAGG